Molecule: non-coding RNA, 1407 nt
Organism: Pelodiscus sinensis (Chinese soft-shelled turtle)
Lineage: Eukaryota; Metazoa; Chordata; Testudines; Trionychidae
Source: RefSeq, a predicted model, not a curated record
CAUUUAAAAAAGUGAUGUAAAAAGGUUGGAGACCACUUGAAUAUCAAAAAACCUACAAUACUAAAAUUCAAAAUGUUUCCGAAUAAAUCCGAGGCAGCCAAGGCCAUGUGUGUUUGUAGGGUCAGGUGUGGUCCGCUGCCCUGGCUCAGCCUUGGUUUCUUUGGUGCCAAAGUGAAUGACGUUGCAUUGCAGUUGAAAUCAAUUGAACGGACGUACAAGGCGCAAUGGUGCAUGACAGCAAUGCGUAGGUCUGCUUUGUGCAGCGGCAAUGAGUGGUUUGAGUCUGACUGGUGACUAGAGUACACAGUGGUUGGAUGAGUUCUGUUAUCGUCUGUCAUUGUGGGUGUGUGAUUUUCCGUAACUGACAGUGUGAGUACGGUGUAAACUAACAAAGAUAGUGUUCAUGAAAAAGUCAGCUGCUCUCAACCCAUUGCCUAGGCCUAUUUUGAUUGCCAGGCUGCCCCUGGAUUCCUGUUCCAGCAAGAAGCUAGAGGUACCAGAGCUACCAUGAAAACCACCUGUUCAAAGGCACCUACAAAUGAAAAAUAGGGGAAGUUUAAUAAAAUUCAAAUAGUGAGUAAAGAUUCAGAUAAACUUGUUGGGAUAAAAUGAUGAUUAACAGCUCUUCUUAGCUAUAGAAGUAAACUAGUAGAUACAUCUCAUUAUAUAGCUGUUGCAAGUUCUGUUGCUGACCUUAAACUGUGCAUGAUGACGACAUGUACCCCUGAGGUGAAGGCUUGACGCCAUUGAAACUGGAAUUUCUCCAGACCAUUCAGCUGGGUUGGCCUCACUCUGCUGGAGGCACAGGCAGCGCAUCCAGGCCCUGUUAUCACCCAACAUGACAGCAGAUGGUGCCAUCAUCCAACCGAGUCAUCUGAAUGCUGUACUUAAGCCAUUCAUGGACCAAGAGCGGAGACACCAGCCAGUGUCCCAGCUCUCAUUCCUCCAGAGUUCACCAUCAUGAUGGAAAGAUUUGACUAACCCAAUACAAAGAGAAGAUGCAUGACCCCCAAUGAGUGGAGACGAUGGAUGGUUGUUAAAAUGAAUAGUUAAAGGUGAAAUGGACAAAAAACCCAAAACAUUGACAGCUCGCUACUGUGCUAGGUAUUUCAUCAUACAGCUAAAUGAUAUGCUCACUGUUCCAAAGAGGAGACACUAACUGCAGCCAAUAAAUGCCAACCUCCUGCAUCAACAGGAAGGAGGGUGCUGGUGUAAAGCUGACGGAUGGAACCAAACCUGGGACUUCGCUACACGAGCCUCCAGGCUUGAGCUAUAAAGCCAGCUGGCUCUCAGCUAAGGCUGUAGAGCACACUCAUUCUCUCGCUCUGUAAGUGGUCUAAGGGCUACUAGGUGGGACAGUGCACCACACCCAUGAGGUAUGUGGGUUAUACUGGCACUCAGCAACAA